RNAcentral lists this ribosomal RNA (446 nucleotides) under uncultured bacterium. RNAcentral describes it as "bacterial SSU rRNA". It matches the Rfam family "Bacterial small subunit ribosomal RNA", at positions 331 to 793 of the family's 1533-position model. The record is from RNAcentral.
CCAGACUCCUACGGGAGGCAGCAGUGGGGAAUAUUGCACAAUGGGGGAAACCCUGAUGCAGCGACGCCGCGUGAGCGAUGAAGUAUUUCGGUAUGUAAAGCUCUAUCAGCAGGGAAGAAAAUGACGGUACCUGACUAAGAAGCCCCGGCUAACUACGUGCCAGCAGCCGCGGUAAUACGUAGGGGGCAAGCGUUAUCCGGAUUUACUGGGUGUAAAGGGAGCGUAGACGGCAGCACAAGUCUGGAGUGAAAUCCCGGGGCUUAACCCCGGAGCUGCGUUGGAAACUGUGCGGCUGGAGUGCAGGAGGGGUAAGCGGAAUUCCUAGUGUAGCGGUGAAAUGCGUAGAUAUUAGGAGGAACACCAGUGGCGAAGGCGACUUUCUGGACUGUACCUGACGCUGAGGCGCGAAAGCGUGGGUAGCGAACGGGAUUAGAUACCCGCGUAAG